This is a long non-coding RNA of Chroicocephalus ridibundus (black-headed gull), 887 nucleotides long. RefSeq lists it as uncharacterized. Lineage: Eukaryota; Metazoa; Chordata; Aves; Charadriiformes; Laridae. The record is from RefSeq and is a predicted model, not a curated record. The transcript has 6 exons.
UGUGUGUGAGAAAGAGUGCAAGCAAUUGCUUAUUGAUGUAAUGGAAGGAAAUGAAGGUAAUGUAAAGAGCAGGUAAACAACGGCAUCUUCCUGACAGAUAUGCAGAACCUCUCCUGCUUUUUCUGAGAUACUUGCAGAUGUUGCCAGUUACUUGCCGUAAGUGGUGUUUGUUUCCUUUCCACAAAGACAACAGCAGCUCUGAAUGCUGAUAAAACAAAGCUUGGCAGAAUCCCAAGCAAGAUAUCUUGUUCUGGGACUACGCUCAGCCUGAGCUUCUCACUUAUCUUGCAGGCAUUCAGUCUUCAAAAGCCAGGAGCAUCCAUCUUUGGGAGAUAAAGUUACAACGGAAUUUUGAAUAAACUGACCCUGGAAAUGCUUCUAGCUCAGCUAACAGAAUGACGUGGUGGCCUUGGAAAACGAUACACUCUGAGGGCUGGUGCUGGGGGAAACCAAGAUGCAGAAUUAGAAGAGUUCUGAUGAUGGAGAAACAGAUUCAAAAUGCUUACUCAUCUCCAAAUGUUCAUGUGGGACAACAGGGAUAUAUAUGAGCUGCAAAGAAAAGUACCUCCCAAUGACACUACACUUGAACAGUAAUGUCAAUAUCUAAUCUGCCGACACAGCGGGCUGCGUUGCGCUUGACUCUGUCUGUACCUGCUCUACCCAGAUGGCACAGAAAGCAAGCUGGAAUUGCCCUCUGCUGGUUUUCCCUCCCCAGAUUGCUGUGGAGGUUAGGCUGAGCUGAAUGAACUGCAGUGUGAGUGGCUUGUUAACUUAAGUGUGAGAAAACAGGAUUUGCUGACAAUGGACCAACAUCCACAGCUGGUGUAAAUGAACCUUGCCACACUGAAAUCUGAAAGACUUCUGCCUGAAAGGUUUUCCAUGUCCAG